UACGGGGGGGAGCAAGCGUUGUUCGGAUUUACUGGGCGUAAAGGGCGCGUAGGCGGCCAGCACAAGUCAGUUGUGAAAUCUCCGAGCUUAACUCGGAAAGGUCAACUGAUACUGUGCGGCUAGAGUGCGGAAGGGGCAACUGGAAUUCUUGGUGUAGCGGUGAAAUGCGUAGAUAUCAAGAGGAACACCUGAGGUGAAGACGGGUUGCUGGGCCGACACUGACGCUGAGUGCGCGAAAGCCAGGGGAGCAAACGGG
This 256-nucleotide ribosomal RNA is filed under the name uncultured bacterium. RNAcentral describes it as "partial 16S ribosomal RNA". It matches the Rfam family "Bacterial small subunit ribosomal RNA", at positions 524 to 776 of the family's 1533-position model. The record is from RNAcentral.